This 252-nucleotide long non-coding RNA is filed under the name Gossypium barbadense (sea-island cotton). RNAcentral describes it as "long non-coding RNA (GBAR_LNC000370)". Lineage: Eukaryota; Viridiplantae; Streptophyta; Magnoliopsida; Malvales; Malvaceae. The record is from RNAcentral.
CUUAGGUGAGCAUAGGAGAGCGAAAGGAGUGAGAAAAGGGGCAAAAACAGAGAAAAUGGGCCAACGUACGAAAUCAACACGGCCUGGACUUCCUCACACGGGCAGACGACACGGUCAUGUCAAUUUGGUAGAAUUGAAGCACUUUUCACACUGGUAGAACACACGCCCGUAUCAUUCUAACAGGUUCGAGCACGGCUUGAAGUAGUCGCACACGGGCGUGUCACAUGGGCGUGUCCUUGCUGAGCCCAAGUU